RNAcentral lists this ribosomal RNA (484 nucleotides) under uncultured Chlorella. Its description in RNAcentral is "eukaryotic LSU rRNA". It matches the Rfam family "Eukaryotic large subunit ribosomal RNA", at positions 699 to 1189 of the family's 3401-position model. Lineage: Eukaryota; Viridiplantae; Chlorophyta; Trebouxiophyceae. The record is from RNAcentral.
UUUUAACACCCAUGAGACGCAAGUAACCUGACUGGUGGGAUGGCUUAUGCCUGCACCAUCGACCGACCAUGAUCUUCUGUGAAAGGUUUGAGUACGAGCAUACCUGUUGGGACCCGAAAGAUGGUGAACUAUGCCUGAGCAGGGCGAAGCCAGAGGAAACUCUGGUGGAGGCUCGUAGAUGUGCUGACGUGCAAAUCGCUUUUCGGACUUGGGUAUAGGGGCGAAAGACUAAUCGAACCAUCUAGUAGCUGGUUCCCUCCGAAGUUUCCCCCAGGAUAGCUGGAGCUUGAUCAGUUUUAUCGGGUAAAGCGAAUGAUUAGAGGUACCGGGGAUGAAACAUCCUCGACCUAUUCUCAAACUUUAAAUAGGUAAGACGUCUGGGUUGCUUAAUUGAACCCAGGCACUCAAUGAGAGCUCCAAGUGGGCCAUUUUUGGUAAGCAGAACUGGCGAUGCGGGAUGAACCGAAAGCUGAGUUAAGGCAAA